Long non-coding RNA from Oncorhynchus keta (chum salmon), 1481 nucleotides. RefSeq lists it as uncharacterized. NCBI's taxonomy places the organism in Eukaryota, Metazoa, Chordata, Actinopteri, Salmoniformes, Salmonidae. The transcript has 5 exons. The record is from RefSeq and is a predicted model, not a curated record.
UAACUAGACCUAUCUGAAACAUGGCCCUCUUCAGUAACUAGACCUAUCUGAAACACGGCCCUCUUCAGUAACUAGACCUAUCUGAAACAUGGCCCUCUUCAGUAACUAGACCUAUCUGAAACAUGGCCCUCUUCAGUAACUAGACCUAUCUGAAACAUGACCCUCUUCAGUAACUAGACCUAUCUGAAACAUGGCCCUCUUCAGUAACUAGACCUAUCUGAAACACGGCCCUCUUCAGUAACUAGACCUAUCUGAAACAUGGCCCUCUUCAGUAACUAGACCUAUCUGAAACAUGGCCCUCUUCAGUAACUAGACCUAUCUGAAACAUGGCCCUCUUCAGUAACUAGACCUAUCUGAAACAUGGCCUCCUCCUCUCUUCCAGAGCACCCUCAGCCAGAGCAUCCGGCUACUGCAGAGGACAGCUGAGGAACUACCUGUGAAGGUGACUAACGUCCUUAGUGCCAUCGACGAAGCAGAGUACCUCAUCACACACAACGCUUCACGCGUGGUUAAACAGGAGAGAGAUGUCUACAUGCAGAGCCUGGUUGGAUACUUCAGACAGUACACAGACUGGGUCAAAAACUCUAACACGUUCUGGUUCGGUCUGGGUGGUUGCUGUGUGUUCCUGGUUCCCAGCAUCAUCCUGUCAGUCAAACUGGCCAAGUACUACAGGAGGAUGGAUACGGAGGAUGUGUUUGAAGAGGGCCAAGAAAACUGGUAGAGAAACAAAGGUGGGAAAGAGAACAAAACAACAACAACCCAAGAAGACAGAACUCUGCUGAUCUCCGCCCCACAACAACCUGAUUGGAUAAGGACCUUAGCUGCCAGCCAAUUACAGUAGCCCAAAUGAUGCCCUGUACGUUCCAUCGCCCAAUCACAUCACUAGUUCUGUCUGACGUCACCGUAGUUUCUGAACAUUACACCUGUGUGAACAUGUUGGUGGAUAAUUUCUAUAUAGUUGAUUUGAUAUAUCAGAGUUAUUAUAGACAAGUGUUGUGUUUGUUUCUACUCAGCUGGAACCACUGACUCGUCUCAACGACUUGUACAUUUUAUACGCUUUCAACACCUUUGAAAGUUUUAUAUAUUUUUUAAUAUAAUAUGUUAGCAUGUUAGCGGACGCUAGCUACCAAACCAUGUUAGCAUGUUAGCAGACGCUAGAUACAAAACCAUGUUAGCAUGUUAGCAGACACUGGCUACCAAACCAUGUUAGCAUGUUAGCAGACACUAGAUACAAAACCAUGUUAGCAUGUUAGCAGACACUGGCUACCAAACCAUGUUAGCAUGUUAGCAGACACUAGAUACAAAACCAUGUUAGCAUGUUAGCUAGCGGACGCUAGCUGCUUGUUGUUUGACAGCUUGUAACCAUCGCAUUGACUUUGAUGUCAUAUCUGUGAUGUCAUAUCGGUGAUGUCAGGACUGUGAUGUCACGACUGAUGUCACUUCAGGCUCUGAAUCUGUGAAUAAAGAUGUCAGUUCGCUGA